RNAcentral lists this ribosomal RNA (484 nucleotides) under uncultured bacterium. Its description in RNAcentral is "partial 16S ribosomal RNA". It matches the Rfam family "Bacterial small subunit ribosomal RNA", at positions 28 to 523 of the family's 1533-position model. The record is from RNAcentral.
GACGAACGCUGGCGGCGUGCUUAACACAUGCAAGUCGAACGAUGAACCCGGAGCUUGCUCCGGUGGAUUAGUGGCUAACGGGUGAGUAACACGUGAGUAACCUGCCCUUGACUCUGGGAUAACUGCGGGAAACUGUAGCUAAUACCGGAUACGACCCUCGGCGGCAUCGCCAGGGGGUGGAAAGAAUUUCGGGCAAGGAUGGACUCGCGGCGUAUCAGCUAGUUGGUGAGGUAACGGCUCACCAAGGCGACGACGGGUAGCCGGCCUGAGAGGGUGACCGGCCACACUGGGACUGAGACACGGCCCAGACUCCUACGGGAGGCAGCAGUGGGGAAUAUUGCACAAUGGGCGCAAGCCUGAUGCAGCAACGCCGCGUGAGGGAUGACGGCAUUCGGGUUGUAAACCUCUUUUAGUAGGGAAGAAGCGAAAGUGACGGUACCUGCAGAAAAAGCACCGGCUAACUACGUGCCAGCAGCCGCCGUAA